CUUCUGUGAUUUCUUAGGUUAGUUCAGCACCUGAGUCUGUUAAGUUUCCUAUUUUUUGAGUUAAUGAUAGCCUCCCUCCAGAAUUGAAUAUUUGGCUUGGUGGAGAAUGCUGUACAUCUACUUACUUUAAACUUAACCUUUCACUGACGUCCUACUUUACAGUAUUUAUUUUUUAUGUGUAUGAAUGCUUGGCUGCAUGUAUUUAUGUGCACCGGGUCUGCGGUGCUCCUCGAGGUCAGAGGAGGACAUCAGGACCUCUGGAACAGAAACAGGUAGCAAUGCAUAUCCUAGUAAGAGCACCAGUGGAAGGAGAAGCCCUUGGUCCUGCUAAGACUGAACUCCCAGUGAACGUGAUUGUUGGGGACUUCAUCAAAUAUAAAUCUCCAAAAUGGAAGAAGGAGCAUAAAGAUGUGGUGUGCAGAAGAACAUUUGUUAAAGCAGAAAACAGCAGGUGAAGAAUUGAGCAAGAUAAAAUUUAUAGACCAGGAGGCAGCCAUGUUUCUGCUAUCUCCCUUCAUGCUUCUUUCCAUAGAAUCAGGCUUUCCAGAUUAACUUCAGGGAAAUUAAGCAUGCUUUAUUUCCUGGGAAGGAUGAAGUUCCUUAACAAGCAUUCCCAAGCAGAAGAGAAAACAAAGUGUAAGGAAGAAAAAACUUGAAUUUACUUGUGCUUUCCUUGGAAAUCUUGACUUCCUUAGGGCAAAGAUAUAUUUCUAAGAAAUCAUUAAGAAAGCUGAGGCUUUUCUGAGCUUUGAUUCUACCAAAUAUAUGUUCAUUUUCAGUGUUUGUUUGUACAUAGUAUUUAAACACAGUGAGAAAUAUAGAAUUUGUU
Molecule: non-coding RNA, 829 nt
Organism: Rattus norvegicus (Norway rat)
Lineage: Eukaryota; Metazoa; Chordata; Mammalia; Rodentia; Muridae
Source: RefSeq, a predicted model, not a curated record